This is a long non-coding RNA of Salvelinus namaycush (lake trout), 297 nucleotides long. RefSeq lists it as uncharacterized. The transcript has 3 exons. NCBI's taxonomy places the organism in Eukaryota, Metazoa, Chordata, Actinopteri, Salmoniformes, Salmonidae. The record is from RefSeq and is a predicted model, not a curated record.
GUUAAACCUCACAGAAGAAGAAGUAAACAUUACUUUUCGAGGGCCGAGAAGACAGUGGAUCCAGCGUCCAAGGAUGCCAACCUCGUGCUGCAGAGUAGACUGGACUUAUCUGACUGCUGACCUCUACAUGGAUAGUCUGAGGUGUUACAAAUCCCUUUGGCCCGACAAUCUAGGGGGGAUGGUAAUGGGACCCGUAACAUAACUCAUGCAAAUUAUAGUAGUGACAAAGAGUGAGAACGAAAUAACCACGACAACUAAUAUCUACCGUCAAACACUCAAGGUUUAUUUAUAAACACA